This 253-nucleotide ribosomal RNA is filed under the name uncultured bacterium. RNAcentral describes it as "partial 16S ribosomal RNA". It matches the Rfam family "Bacterial small subunit ribosomal RNA", at positions 524 to 776 of the family's 1533-position model. The record is from RNAcentral.
UACGGAGGGUGCAAGCGUUAUCCGGAUUCACUGGGUUUAAAGGGUGCGUAGGUGGCUUUGUAAGUCAGUGGUGAAAUGCCGGAGCUUAACUCCGGAACUGCCAUUGAUACUGCUUAGCUUGAAUCACGUCGAGGUGGAUGGAAUAUUACAUGUAGCGGUGAAAUGCUUAGAUAUGACAUAGAACACCAAUUGCGAAGGCAGCUGGCUACGCGAAUAUUGACACUGAUGCACGAAAGCGUGGGGAUCAAACAGG